UAGUCCACGCCGUAAACGAUGUUCACUCGCUGUCUGCGAUACACAGUAGGCGGCUGAGCGAAAGCAUUAAGUGAACCACCUGGGGAGUACGAUCGCAAGGUUGAAACUCAAAGGAAUUGACGGGGGCCCGCACAAGCGGAGGAACAUGUGGUUUAAUUCGAUGAUACGCGAGGAACCUUACCUGGGCUUAAAUGUAGAUUGCAUAAGGUGGAAACACUUUUUCCCUUCGGGGCUAUUUACAAGGUGCUGCAUGGUUGUCGUCAGCUCGUGCCGUGAGGUGUCGGGUUAAGUCCCAUAACGAGCGCAACCCUUACCGUUAGUUGCCAUCAGGUCAAGCUGGGGACUCUAGCGGAACUGCCACCGUAAGGUGAGAGGAAGGUGGGGAUGACGUCAAAUCAGCACGGCCCUUAUGUCCAGGGCUACACACGUGUUACAAUGGCCGAUACAAAGGGCAGCUACCAGGCAACUGGAUGCUAAUCUCUAAAGUCGGUCCCAGUUCGGUUGGAGUCUGCAACUCGA
RNAcentral lists this ribosomal RNA (519 nucleotides) under uncultured bacterium. RNAcentral describes it as "bacterial SSU rRNA". It matches the Rfam family "Bacterial small subunit ribosomal RNA", at positions 791 to 1315 of the family's 1533-position model. The record is from RNAcentral.